ACUUCCAGAUGCUUAGUACGGCGAGUGAGCGGCAAAAGCUCCAAAUUUGAAAUCUGGCACCUUCGGUGUCCGAGUUGUAAUUUGAAGAAGGUAACUUUGGAGUUGGCUCUUGUCUAUGUUCCUUGGAACAGGACGUCACAGAGGGUGAGAAUCCCGUGCGAUGAGAUGCCCAAUUCUAUGUAAAGUGCUUUCGAAGAGUCGAGUUGUUUGGGAAUGCAGCUCUAAGUGGGUGGUAAAUUCCAUCUAAAGCUAAAUAUUGGCGAGAGACCGAUAGCGAACAAGUACAGUGAUGGAAAGAUGAAAAGAACUUUGAAAAGAGAGUGAAAAAGUACGUGAAAUUGUUGAAAGGGAAGGGCUUGAGAUCAGACUUGGUAUUUUGCGAUCCUUUCCUUCUUGGUUGGGUUCCUCGCAGCUUACUGGGCCAGCAUCGGUUUGGAUGGUAGGAUAAUGACUAAGGAAUGUGGCUCUACUUCGGUGGAGUGUUAUAGCCUUGGUUGAUACUGCCUGUCUAGACCGAGGACUGCGUCUUUUGACUAGGAUGUUGGCAUAAUGAUCUUAAGCCACCCGUCUAAAAAAAGGGAAAAAAAAAAAAAAAAAAAUUAAGGAGAUGAAAAA
This 615-nucleotide ribosomal RNA is filed under the name Debaryomyces hansenii. RNAcentral's name for it is "partial large subunit ribosomal RNA". It matches the Rfam family "Eukaryotic large subunit ribosomal RNA", at positions 68 to 664 of the family's 3401-position model. Lineage: Eukaryota; Fungi; Ascomycota; Pichiomycetes; Serinales; Debaryomycetaceae. The record is from RNAcentral.